This 358-nucleotide long non-coding RNA is filed under the name Bos taurus (domestic cattle). RNAcentral describes it as "long non-coding RNA NONBTAT010922". Lineage: Eukaryota; Metazoa; Chordata; Mammalia; Artiodactyla; Bovidae. The record is from RNAcentral.
CUGCCAGAUGCAUUUGUGUGAACCAGGGAUACUGCAUCUUUAAUGAACAAGUCUCUUCUCUUUCCCCUGUUUUUAAAUACAACACAAGCUGUGUAGCACUAGGUACUGCAAUUGUCAAAGACAAUUAGACUGAAAGCAGGAAAAUUUCACCUCCCUGUCUCAGUGAUAUGUAGAAUGUCGGCAGCAUGGGUCAGCCUUGCCACAGAGUUGUGUGAGAAUAUAUGAAUCAGUCCUAUAGAAUGUUAAAUAUUUAUAAAAUGGUUCUGUAGUACACCAAGCUUGGGAGCACAUUCAUUCUUUGUGUUGUCCUAUGAUACAAAAAAAGCUAAAGUUUAUUUUCAGGCUUAAAACAUUCUCA